Molecule: long non-coding RNA, 461 nt
Organism: Ursus thibetanus thibetanus
Lineage: Eukaryota; Metazoa; Chordata; Mammalia; Carnivora; Ursidae
Source: Ensembl
GCAAUCCCAACCCCUACCACUAGGGGGUGGCCUUGCCCUAUAUGCCUCAACCUAACAAUUACAGAUAAAAGAGUCCAAAAUCAGUUCCAUUCUGUAUAAUUCCGUCUUAACAGUGUGCAUGUGACAGCUAUGGCCCAGUCUGGGCUGAGCUGUGCUGAACUCUGUCCAAUUCCUCUAACAUGAGAUUUGGAUCUCAUGUUUUUCCUCUGUUUUCCCUGCCCAGAUCCUCAGCUUCUAUAAGCAAGCCCUAGAAUCAAAACAGAGAAGCAGGUCGGACUCAGGCAAACCUAACAAUUUCUACUUCCAAGCGGAACAAGGAACUUCUAGUCUAAACACCGUUCAGCAUUCUCAAGACUGCACAGAAGGAAACUCUUAGAAGAAUUCAGAUCGGUUUGCAGCUUAAAGAACAGGCUUGGAAGUCAGAACCCUAAGAGGUUUGGAUAAAUGGUGCUGGGAAAAUU